UACGGAGGGUGCAAGCGUUAUCCGGAUUCACUGGGUUUAAAGGGUGCGUAGGCGGAUUGGUAAGUCCGUGGUGAAAUCUCCAAGCUUAACUUGGAAACUGCCAUGGAUACUAUUAGUCUUGAAUAUUGUGGAGGUUAGCGGAAUAUGUCAUGUAGCGGUGAAAUGCAUAGAUAUGACAUAGAACAUCAAUUGCGAAGGCAGCUGGCUACACAAAUAUUGACGCUGAUGCACGAAAGCGUGGGGAUCAAACAGG
This 253-nucleotide ribosomal RNA is filed under the name uncultured bacterium. Its description in RNAcentral is "partial 16S ribosomal RNA". It matches the Rfam family "Bacterial small subunit ribosomal RNA", at positions 524 to 776 of the family's 1533-position model. The record is from RNAcentral.